Molecule: long non-coding RNA, 477 nt
Filed under: Ricinus communis (castor bean)
Lineage: Eukaryota; Viridiplantae; Streptophyta; Magnoliopsida; Malpighiales; Euphorbiaceae
Description: long non-coding RNA (RCOM_LNC002306)
Source: RNAcentral
CAAAAGUUCCCCUGCACCAACAGUCUCAUCUCCCCCUCCUGCUAUACCCCCUGAAUCAUCAGCUCACUCUCCAUCUUCACCUUCUCCGAAAUCUCCAUCACCAAUUGCAAAACCUCCAUCUUCUUCUGCUCAUGUCCCUGCAGUUUCCCCUGCUUCUCCUUCACCUAUCGCCAAGGCUCCAUCUUCUUCUGCUCAUGUUCCUGCAGUUUCCCCUGCUUCUCCUUCACCUUUCGUCGAGGCUCCAUCUUUGGCUCCAACACCAGCACUGUCUCCUAAAUCUCCAAAAGCCAAGACACCAUCUUUCGCUCCAUCUCCAUUUACAACGUCACCAACCUCAUCUCCUACAAAGGCACCUUCACCAUCUGCAGUAGCUCAUGCACCGAUUUCUCCAUCUCCAUCACCAGCAGCGGUAGAGGAGCCUGUUAGUUCUCCAAGCCCUGUGGCAGUAGAGGAGCCAGUUAGUUCUCCAAGCCCAGC